CAAAAGUAAAGAAAUCUUGGACCGGUAAGAUCAACACACCAUUUUUAGAAUUUCUUUGAAAAUCAGUUUCGGAAGGUUUUAAUUAAUGUUUGUGAAACUCUGAGAUUUAUCUGUGGAUCUCAUUCUAUUUAUUUGUCAAUAUGUUUUAUUUUUGUUAAUCUCAUCAAAAUCAUUUAUUUGUGGAUCAUAAUCUGUUUAUUUGGAAUAACGCAACAAUUCUAUCUCCAUAAAUAAUGACCAGUCGUACACUCUGGGAAACACCUUCUAUUCCCCAAUGCAGAGCUCAGCUCUGAUACUUUCAGUUUCGCUAAACGUGUAGUGUGUGCGAAGUUUGGACGCCGAGAACAAAAGAGCCAUUCAGAACUUCACCAAUGUCGAAUCUUUUAAUGCUGCUGUCAUUUUGCUUCGUCUAUCAUAGCGGUCAGUGUAAUUUGUUUAUAAAAUGUAAAUCGUUCUGAUUUUCAGUUCGAGCUAGAAUUCUAGUUCUAAUCGAUUGUUUUUCUGUUGCACCACUAAAGUCAUGUUCUUUUGCUGACAUUUGUGAAUAGAUGGAAAUUCCCCAGUAUAUUAUAUCAUCAUUACACAUCAUGACAUCACUGACACAUCUUUGCAGUUCAUUCCAGUUCAUUUAUUAUUAAGCAUUGUUUGGUCAGGGAUGAAUGAGGCUUGUUUGUUUGCUCUGAAAGACCGAUAAGACCCUCAUAAGAUGAACAGUUCUGAACUCUGAUGAAAGUGAAAAUAUACUCUCAUGCUGUAUAAUUUAAUUUUCAUGAGCAAGCUCAUGGCUUGAACCAACAACCUUAAUCUUUACAUUUACUUCUGAUGCUAAAUAUUGGAGAAACUCCACCAUCAGUUCACAAUUGUUGAAUUGCGUGGUGAAUUGUGUUUUUUUUUUAUUUUUUAGAAUUCAUACAUUUGUUUUGAAUGAAUCUGUAUUUUAGGAGCCUCCACUGUGAAAUUCAAAAAUGGAGACAAUGCCACACUGACAUGUAAAUAUGAGGCCAAAGACAUUUCAGAUAUUCGCUUCAUUCGACAAGGAAAACCAGUACACUUUGCUGACAUCCCCAUUUGUGAAGAAUAUACAAAAGGAAGUGGCCGAGUAUGUAAAAAAGAAGCAUGUGACAUCAUCAUCAAGGAUCUGAUCUUCAGUGACGCUGGGAAUUACAUUUUUAGAUUCAAUUACAAAAAUGCUCUGACGGAUCUGACGUACCAACUUCAUAUUUAUGAUGAGAUUUGUGUGAACAUCGGUGAGCAGCUGAAGUUAGAUGUUCUGUUGUCAGAAGCUGAUAAAGUGCAGCAUCAGAGCAGCGGAAGCAAAAAGUGGAAGGAGGUUUGGAAGAGAGGCCAUGGUGUUCAAAAUGAUCAGCUGAAUGAUAGAGAUGGAAACUUGAUCAUCAAUAACUUUACAGCCAGUGAUUCAGGAACAUACAAAGUUUUGGGCUCUGAAGGAGAAACCUUGAUCACAGUGACUGUUGAAGGUGAGAGAAGCUCAGAAUAUCUGGAAAUACUAUUUUUUAAAGUAGUAGUAGUAUGUUUAUUCACAAUGAGCUCUGUUUUUUCUCACUUUGUUUGACUGACCUUUGAAUAUCUUGUACUGAAUCUACAGGAUCUCGUUCAGGUGGUAAACUCAAGAGUGAUGCUGAACAACACAGUAAGUAAAACAGGAGGCAAUGAGAGCAUUACAAUAUAUUUAAAAAGUGAGCUUGAAACUAUAAUAUUUGUCUCCCCUUCUGCUGUAGAGCACUGGAUUGGACCGGCUGGGCUGCCUGGGUUCGUUUGGGUGGUUCUUUGCCUUUUUUAAAAGAAGAAAGAUACACCGAUGUCUGGAUGGAGGUCUGAGAAGGUUCUACAUUUGAUGAAGAACCAUCUUCAUGAAUAUUAAAAAUUAUGUUCUAGAAUAUUAAUGCAAUCCAGAUGUGCUACAUCUGCCAUAUUGUCAUGUGACUUAUUUCCGAAAGUAGUAGGACAUCCAGGUACUUUCUGACAGCUGUUUUAUAAGUAUUACAAGGUUUUAUUGCCAUCUGAAUCCAUAAUGUCAGUGUGUUUCUCCCACCACCCGCAUAUUUCCCUGACUGAAUUACCUACUGUUUUUUUUUUUUUUUGAACAAACAAAAAGGUGAUGUGGUAAUUUCACUGCUGCCAAAUCCACAUCCGAGUUUACAAGAUGGGAUCAAUUUUAAAUUCACUGUUUAAAUUCUUUUUGGCAGCUCCAUAUGAUAACUGUUGUGCUUUACUGUAAUUUGCAUUAAAGAUCUACACUUUUAUUACUGAAAGAUAUAUAGCAUAUUAUUGCACCAAAGGACAUGUAAUGCAAUUUUUAAUGUUUGUUUGUAUGUAUGUAUGUAUGUAUGUAUGUAUGUAUGUAUGUAUUUAUUUAUUUAUGUAUGUCUUUUAAUGUCACUUUAAGUCCCUCAGUUGUCCACCAGAGGUCUCACUCCACAGAGUAUUGACUAUUGGACUAUAGUUCCCAGGAAGCCUCAUACCUGGACUAAUUUCCGCUCACCUGAUCGUUGCACUCAGAUUAUUUAUAAACUGUGUUUUGCUCUCUCUUCGUGAAGUCUUGUUUAUUGUGUAUCUUGCCUGUGUAUCGACACUGUCUGGACUUUUACUUCACAACCCUAGCUGCCUGCCCUAGUCUGUUGUUUGUUGUGGACUGGACUUGUGUUUGUUUGCUGCCUGCCCUGAUCCUCUGCCUGGGUUUGACCACGCUUACUGUUUUGCCUCUGACAAUCCUGGUAUUUCACCCACUGCCUGUUUGUACUUUGAGACUGCUUCCACUAGAUGAACCACACAUGGAUUCCACUCAACCAGAGUCUGUGUUACAAUCAGGCUGAAACGAUUUUGUCUAAAAUAGAACGACUCAUAUGUGGAAUCUAUCAGUCAGGAGCUGCACAAUGUUUGACAGAUUUUACACUGCUAUUGUCAAUUAAGUAAACAAACUGAUUAAAGCUAUUCUUUUUCUGAUGUUUAGAAUUAUACCUUUUAUUAUGUUAAAGAAAAAAAAAUUGUACAGUCUUUACUGUGUGGGCCAAAUGUGUAAUUCUCUAACCUGCUAAAAACAGUAAACAUUUACAAGUUCUCUUAUAUUACAAAAUAAAUAAAAAAUAAAUGAGAGCA
Molecule: long non-coding RNA, 3117 nt
Organism: Cyprinus carpio (common carp)
Lineage: Eukaryota; Metazoa; Chordata; Actinopteri; Cypriniformes; Cyprinidae
Source: Ensembl